This 147-nucleotide non-coding RNA is filed under the name Pan paniscus (pygmy chimpanzee). Lineage: Eukaryota; Metazoa; Chordata; Mammalia; Primates; Hominidae. The record is from Rfam by way of RNAcentral. RNAcentral also lists the same sequence under 1 other name.
GCCAGGCAUGGUGGCAGGUGCCUGUAAUCCCAGCUACUUGGGAGGCUGAGACAGGAGAAUUGCUUGAAACCUGGAGGCAGAGGUUGCAGUGAGCCAAGAUUGGGCACUGCACUCCAGCCUGGGUAACAGAGCAAGACUCUGUCUCUA